This is a long non-coding RNA of Tachysurus fulvidraco (yellow catfish), 1628 nucleotides long. RefSeq lists it as uncharacterized. Lineage: Eukaryota; Metazoa; Chordata; Actinopteri; Siluriformes; Bagridae. The record is from RefSeq and is a predicted model, not a curated record. The transcript has 4 exons.
AACUGGACAAAAAAAAUAAAAAAAAAGUUGACUUAACAUGUGGGAAUAAGUUCAAAAAUGGUUUAACCAACUUAAUUUUAACUGUUGAUUGGAUAUACACAUGCAAGUUUACAAGCACACAAGUUGGUUUGGUGGUUGGCGCAUGCGCGCUGUAUAUUUGGACGGUUGAGCUCAGGUGGAACGAUAGCGCCAAUUUGAAACUUCAUCGCUUAAAUUAAGUAUCUUUUUUCUGUGUGUUUUGAAACUGAAGUUAAGUAAUGUAAUGUCGAUGGGCAAGCUUAUUUUAAAGCGAGUUUUUAUGAAAGAUCUAAUUCAACACAGUUAUUUUAACUUAUGUGCGAUUUGUCACAUAGACUUAACUCAGAAUGUAAUCGUGUUGUUUAUUACAUCACAGAAAAUGCUGUUGGAACUCAUGUGGAUAUCGUGCCAGCACAAGAUCACCUCAUUCAUUCAUUCAUUCAUUCAUUCACUCAUUCAUUCAUUUUCUACCGCUUAUCCGAACUUCUCUAUUCACGUGGAGCCUGUCUCAGGCGUCUCAAACUUCAUCGUUUAAAAUUGGUUAUGAGUUCAAAAGCAUUACCAAUGUGGAUCUCCUUGAUACAUUCAGAUCAUUGUUACACCAACAUACACCACAACUUCUGAAGUUGAACAGAGCAAGACAGGGGGCUUUUGGAAAAGAGAUGGAAGAUCUUCUUAACAGGCUUGAUCAACAGACCUCAAAUAUUGUGAAUCAUCGAAAGCAAGCAGUUCUGGAAGGUUUCCCUUUGUUUCUCCGUGAAGAUCGUUCUGCACUUUUCAGAAAAUAUCUGCUGAGUGUGUUUCAUUAAUUCUUCUGCAGAUAUAAAAUCUGACAACAUACAGUACUGGCACAUAACCUUAGACAGAAGACGUCUUUUCAACGUGUUUGUGGCUCAUUGGGAAACACUGUCUCCUCGCAUCAAGAAGGACACAUCUCCAGCAGACAGACAGACCAGAGGGAUAAAAAUGGCAUUGCCGAUCUUUUCAAACUUUGCUGUUGUUUUGGAGGAGACAAUUGUUCUGAAGGACAUUUCAGACCUUCCAUCUGCUGUGUCAUACCCGUUUGGCCUUGUCUUUGCCUUGGAUUUUGAAUACCCCAAAGAACUCAAUUUUUUUUUUUUUUUUUUUUUGAGGUGAUUGAGAAGGUGUUUCUGGAAAUGGGCACUCACUGCUCCGCGAGAGUACAGUACAGUCCUUUAAAACAAAACUCUUGCUGUGAAAGUUAAAAUCGUGUCAGAGUCUUUGAAAAUCUUUGGAUUUGAUCUUAAUGUUAAAAUGUGAAAGAUUGUUGAACUGUGAAUUUGUUAAUAUGUUCGAUGUUUUAAGACUGUUUAAUGUCAUAAUUAUUUUAGUUUUUUGGUGUUACUAUUGCUGAGAAUUGUUAAAGACAUGUUAAAAGGUUAAAGGUGAUACAUUUAUCUUUAGUUUUUAUGUUUUUAAUUAUUAUUAUUGAUUUUGCCAUUUAUUUUUUCCAUUUAUUUAUAUUUAUUAUAUUGACUGUCAUUUAUAUCUAUAUUUUUAUUUAUUUUGUUCUGUUAGGAAGUAUGACUUAUUUGACCUUGUUUGUAUUUCUUUGAAAGUUCAGAAAAAUAAACAAAUCUUGAAGCAUG